Molecule: RNase P RNA, 336 nt
Filed under: Bacillota bacterium
Lineage: Bacteria; Bacillati; Bacillota
Description: Firmicutes bacterium (anaerobic digester metagenome) RNase P RNA component class A
Rfam family: Bacterial RNase P class A
About the family: Ribonuclease P (RNase P) is a ubiquitous endoribonuclease, found in archaea, bacteria and eukarya as well as chloroplasts and mitochondria. Its best characterised activity is the generation of mature 5'-ends of tRNAs by cleaving the 5'-leader elements of precursor-tRNAs.
Source: RNAcentral
CAACUAGAUCGGGUGACCGCAGGCUUUUUAGCCUGAGGAAAGUCCGAGCUCCACAGGGCAGGGUGCUGGGUAACACCCAGUGGGGGCGACCCUAAGGAAAGUGCCACAGAAAUCAAACCGCCGGCUGUGCCGGUAAGGGUGAAACGGUGCGGUAAGAGCGCACCGGCGGCCAGGCGACUGGCCGGCCAGGUAAACCCCACCCGGAGCAAGACCAAAUAGGAGGGAGCUAAGGCGGCCCGUCUUUCCCUCGGGUUGGUUGCUAGAGGCGUCAGGCAACUGGCGUCCCAGAUAGAUGGUCACCGAACACAGAACUCGGCUUAUAGAUCUAGUUGCUAC